GCAUUCAGAAUAUAUAGAGAAAAAAAUGAUUUUGAGUCUGGGUCCACCAAACCUGCACUCCAGGGUUACCAGCAUUCAUUUGUCAGCACUGUGACCAGUACUCCCCAUUCACAUGUUGUACACACGUUGGCAUCAUCACCUGUGAGCAGACCACUGCCAGCCCGUCAGCCCAGCGGACAGGGGCAGCCCAUUCAACCAGUGGGUUGAACACCAGCCCAGAGCCUCCAUGAGUCCAGAACAGUGUCUGGUCACCUCCUCAGUGGAGAGAGGACUUUUCAGCGGUUCAUUUAGUGUUCAACACAGUUACUUACCCUGUGUUUAUUGUUGCCUUACCUUGUUGGCUCGCUCUCUCCUUUUGAGAGAGUAGUUUUGAGUUGGUUUUCCUUUGUCAGUAUAGAAUAAAUACACUUUAGUUUGCACAUAA
This is a long non-coding RNA of Micropterus dolomieu (smallmouth bass), 424 nucleotides long. RefSeq lists it as uncharacterized. The record is from RefSeq and is a predicted model, not a curated record. The transcript has 3 exons. NCBI's taxonomy places the organism in Eukaryota, Metazoa, Chordata, Actinopteri, Centrarchiformes, Centrarchidae.